CCUACGGGUGGCAGCAGUGGGGAAUAUUGGACAAUGGGCGAAAGCCUGAUCCAGCCAUGCCGCGUGUGUGAAGAAGGCCUUCGGGUUGUAAAGCACUUUCAGUGGGGAAGAAAGCCUGGGGGCUAAUACCCUCGAGGAAGGACAUCACCCACAGAAGAAGCACCGGCUAACUCCGUGCCAGCAGCCGCGGUAAUACGGAGGGUGCGAGCGUUAAUCGGAAUUACUGGGCGUAAAGCGCGCGUAGGCGGUCUGAUAAGCCGGUUGUGAAAGCCCCGGGCUCAACCUGGGAACGGCAUCCGGAACUGUCAGGCUAGAGUGCAGGAGAGGAAGGUAGAAUUCCCGGUGUAGCGGUGAAAUGCGUAGAGAUCGGGAGGAAUACCAGUGGCGAAGGCGGCCUUCUGGACUGACACUGACGCUGAGGUGCGAAAGCGUGGGUAGCAAACAGGAUUAGAUACCCCGGUAGUC
Molecule: ribosomal RNA, 465 nt
Filed under: Vreelandella stevensii
Lineage: Bacteria; Pseudomonadati; Pseudomonadota; Gammaproteobacteria; Oceanospirillales; Halomonadaceae
Description: partial 16S ribosomal RNA
Rfam family: Bacterial small subunit ribosomal RNA
Source: RNAcentral